UACGUAGGGUGCGAGCGUUGUCCGGAAUUAUUGGGCGUAAAGAGCUCGUAGGCGGUCUGUCGCGUCGAUCGUGAAAACCCGGGGCUCAACUCCGGGCCUGCAGUCGAUACGGGCUGGCUUGAGUGCGGUAGGGGAGACUGGAAUUCCUGGUGUAGCGGUGAAAUGCGCAGAUAUCAGGAGGAACACCGGUGGCGAAGGCGGGUCUCUGGGCCGUAACUGACGCUGAGGAGCGAAAGCGUGGGGAGCGAACAGG
Molecule: ribosomal RNA, 253 nt
Filed under: uncultured bacterium
Lineage: Bacteria
Description: partial 16S ribosomal RNA
Rfam family: Bacterial small subunit ribosomal RNA
Source: RNAcentral